CCUACGGGAUGCAGCAGUGAGGAAUAUUGGUCAAUGGGCGCGAGCCUGAACCAGCCAAGUAGCGUGAAGGAUGACUGCCCUACGGGUUGUAAACUUCUUUUAUAUGGGAAUAAAAUGUUCCACGUGUGGGAUUUUGUAUGUACCAUAUGAAUAAGGAUCGGCUAACUCCGUGCCCGCAGCCGCGGUAAUCCGGAGGAUCCGAGCGUUAUCCGGAUUUAUUGGGUUUAAAGGGAGCGUAGGUGGAUUGUUAAGUCAGUUGUGAAAGUUUGCGGCUCAACCGUAAAAUUGCAGUUGAAACUGGCAGUCUAGAGUACAGUAGAGGUAGGCGGAAUGCGUGGUGUAGCGGUGAAAUGCUUAGAUAUCACGAAGAACUCCGAUUGCGAAGGCAGCUCACUGGACUGCAACUGACACUGAGGCUCGAAAGUGUGGGGAUCAAACAGGAUUAGAUACCCGGGUAGUC
RNAcentral lists this ribosomal RNA (460 nucleotides) under uncultured bacterium. RNAcentral's name for it is "partial 16S ribosomal RNA". It matches the Rfam family "Bacterial small subunit ribosomal RNA", at positions 338 to 795 of the family's 1533-position model. The record is from RNAcentral.